CAGUCGCCGCGGGAAUACGUAGGGUGCAAGCGUUAAUCGGAAUUACUGGGCGUAAAGCGUGCGCAGGCGGUUUCGUAAGACAGAGGUGAAAUCCCCGGGCUCAACCUGGGGACUGCCUUUGUGACUGCAAGGCUGGAGUGCGGCAGAGGGGGAUGGAAUUCCGCGUGUAGCAGUGAAAUGCGUAGAUAUGCGGAGGAGCACCGAUGGCGAAGGCAAUCCCCUGGGCCUGCACUGACGCUCAUGCACGAAAGUGUGGGGAGCAAACAGGAUUAGAUACCCCAGUAGUCCCUGUCUCUUAUAA
Molecule: ribosomal RNA, 301 nt
Filed under: uncultured bacterium
Lineage: Bacteria
Description: partial 16S ribosomal RNA
Rfam family: Bacterial small subunit ribosomal RNA
Source: RNAcentral